Molecule: long non-coding RNA, 1501 nt
Organism: Raphanus sativus (radish)
Lineage: Eukaryota; Viridiplantae; Streptophyta; Magnoliopsida; Brassicales; Brassicaceae
Exons: 3
Source: RefSeq, a predicted model, not a curated record
AAAAAGUUAUGCACCUUGCCAACUAGUAAAUACUAUAAAUCAGCAAGUACUGAGGUUCGGGGGAUGAUUACCAUAUUGAUCAAAGUUUGUUGAGAGAGAAAGUAAUGAUCCCGGGGGAGAUCUGGAAGACCGAGAUUCAGAUAAGGAUCAACGCCACAGAGUUAUUUAUUUUUGAGGACAGUAUUGGACAGCCGGCUCAGGAUUUGAAUUCGAGGACGAAUUCCUUAUAAGUAAGGGAGAAUUGUAACGACCUGGUUCACCCAAAACCGGUUUGAUUCAUUUUUUAAAAUUAUUUUGUACCAAACCAUUUCUUAAACCGAGCUACAUAUAUACAUGUGUAUAUAUCUUCUUCCAAACCUAGCAUCGUGUACCGUCAAAGGAGACGCAGCCUUUAAUCACCAUCGUCUUCUUCCUCUCCACCAUGUCUCCAAGUCCACACUCAUGCUCUUCUCUCCUCUGUUAUUUUCUCUUACCAUCCAAUCACGUUCAUCCUGGCCUCGAUCCGCAGUGCUUCAUCACAAAUCAACAUCAAUGAUGCCCGAGCACUCAUAUGCAUUGGAGAAGAAGCCUGCGACCAUAGCUGCGACCAUAGCUACCAUGGUGGGCCUUGUUUCUGUGUUACGCCAGAUCCGAGAGAUGAAGAAUAAUCACCAGACCCAUUGCAAUUCCAUCUCACACGUUGUGGACGUGAGCAAAGACGAGAGAGAGUGAGGACGUACAAACAGAGCAGUUGCAGAUCUUCACUAUGUUUACUUGCAUCAUUGGAUCCAUGGCUGAGGUGUAGUUUUGUGAGAGGCUUCUAGUACGAUUCAGAAGACUAUAGACUGCGAGUCAUGGCUCUUUGGAUAGAUCUCGUUUCAACGAAUCUGUACCAGCAAACGGAAUCGAGAUCGGAGUUGUACAGCAAAAGUUAUGGACAUUCUUUCUUGGCCAAGAAUAAACUUAAGCUGUUGCGAUGCAGAGACAGUUCCGACCAGUCUCAGAAUAAAGGCGAAACGGUCGACCUAAACGAAAGCUUUCAAUCUGGAAGUUUGUCAGUAAGUAGUUAACUCUUUUAUCUAUCGUCUCCAAGAAGCGGAUUGUCAUUUCGAGUUAUUUUCUGAAAGUUGUGUUUGUUUUCGCGGGAGAUAUUACUGCAGUCUUCGUUUGCGAUCAGCCUGGAGGUGAAGCUAAUUUGGUUAAUCAGAUGGUGUCCGAUCGGAGUAAACUCGGUGUCUGUGGAUAGAGGACAUUUAGGACUACAUUCUGACCGGACGGAUUAAAAAGUUAAGGAGAGUUCCGGAGUUGCUGUUUUAGAACCGUCAAGGACAUUUGGUGUUUUCUCAGUUUUCUUCAGAAUUGUGGCAAAGGUGAGACAGACGAGUAUAUGAUAUUUGGACGGAUUGGUGCUAUUGGACUUUUUAUUUCGGAUUUUUAUUUGGGUUUUGGGUGAGUGGAUUUGUGUAUAUGGGCUAUUGUGUUAUGAGUUAUUGUUGCUGGCCCAUUUUCUCGAGAUAGGAGG